GCAGAGUAGGGUCACGAGCGUGAGUGCCGCGCGGACGGGGAGUUGCCGCACGGACGAAUUGGGGAAAGCAGAUCUGCGCCCCUGCGGUUCGUCACCCGCAUCCCGCUGU
Molecule: non-coding RNA, 109 nt
Filed under: human gut metagenome
Description: THF riboswitch
Rfam family: THF (Tetrahydrofolate) riboswitch aptamer
About the family: THF riboswitch presents a pseudoknot that joins P1-P2 and the loop of P3 and two THF binding.
Source: RNAcentral